AAGAGUAGACGCAGGCGGUUGCAGAUCAGUCAUAAUCACUGAGCUGAGGAAAGUCCGGGCUCCCGAAAGACCAAACUUGCUGGAUAACGUCCAGUGCGAGCGAUCGUGAGGAUAGUGCCACAGAAAGAUACCGCCAGAUCAAUUAAAAAUUAAAAAUGUAAAAUGAACAAUUUUUAAUUUUACAUUUUUAAUUGAUCUGGUAAGGGUGCAAAGGUGCGGUAAGAGCGCACCAGCAGUAUCGAGAGGUGCUGGCUCGGUAAACCCCAGUUGGGAGCAAGGCGAUAGGAACUACGGUUGGUCUUUUACCAGUUCCGCUCAACGAGAGCCGCUAGAGGCGUUUGGUAACAAGCGUCCCAGAUAGAUAACUGCCCUCGCAAGAGAACAGAACCCGGCUUAUGUACUGCUCUUUCCC
Molecule: RNase P RNA, 412 nt
Filed under: Nostoc sp. TCL240-02
Lineage: Bacteria; Bacillati; Cyanobacteriota; Cyanophyceae; Nostocales; Nostocaceae
Description: RNase P RNA component class A
Rfam family: Bacterial RNase P class A
About the family: Ribonuclease P (RNase P) is a ubiquitous endoribonuclease, found in archaea, bacteria and eukarya as well as chloroplasts and mitochondria. Its best characterised activity is the generation of mature 5'-ends of tRNAs by cleaving the 5'-leader elements of precursor-tRNAs. Cellular RNase Ps are ribonucleoproteins.
Source: RNAcentral